Molecule: ribosomal RNA, 441 nt
Filed under: uncultured bacterium
Lineage: Bacteria
Description: bacterial SSU rRNA
Rfam family: Bacterial small subunit ribosomal RNA
Source: RNAcentral
AUGAACGCUGGCGGCGUGCCUAAUACAUGCAAGUCGAGCGGUAAGGCCCCUUCGGGGGUACACGAGCGGCGGACGGCUGAGUAACGCGUAGGAACGUACCCCAAAGUGAGGGAUAAGCAUUGGAAACAGUGUCUAAUACCGCAUGUGAUCUUCGGAUUAAAGCUUCGGCGCUUUGGGAACGGCCUGCGUAAGAUUAGCUUGUUGGUGAGGUAAUGGCUCACCAAGGCGACGAUCUUUAGCUGGUCUGAGAGGAUGAUCAGCCAGACUGGGACUGAGACACGGCCCAGACUCCUACGGGAGGCAGCAGUAGGGAAUUUUCCACAAUGGACGAAAGUCUGAUGGAGCAACGCCGCGUGCAGGAUGAAGGCUCUAGGGUCGUAAACUGCUUUUAUAGGUGACGAAUAUGACGGUAGCCUAUGAAUAAGCCUCGGCUAAUUCCGU